RNAcentral lists this ribosomal RNA (765 nucleotides) under uncultured Bacteroidales bacterium. RNAcentral describes it as "bacterial SSU rRNA". It matches the Rfam family "Bacterial small subunit ribosomal RNA", at positions 28 to 782 of the family's 1533-position model. Lineage: Bacteria; Pseudomonadati; Bacteroidota; Bacteroidia; Bacteroidales. The record is from RNAcentral.
GAUGAACGCUAGCUACAGGCUUAACACAUGCAAGUCGAGGGGCAGCAUGGUCUUAGCUUGCUAAGGCCGAUGGCGACCGGCGCACGGGUGAGUAACACGUAUCCAACCUGCCGUCUACUCUUGGACAGCCUUCUGAAAGGAAGAUUAAUACAAGAUGGCAUCAUGAGUCCGCAUGUUCACAUGAUUAAAGGUAUUCCGGUAGACGAUGGGGAUGCGUUCCAUUAGAUAGUAGGCGGGGUAACGGCCCACCUAGUCUUCGAUGGAUAGGGGUUCUGAGAGGAAGGUCCCCCACAUUGGAACUGAGACACGGUCCAAACUCCUACGGGAGGCAGCAGUGAGGAAUAUUGGUCAAUGGGCGAGAGCCUGAACCAGCCAAGUAGCGUGAAGGAUGACUGCCCUAUGGGUUGUAAACUUCUUUUAUAAAGGAAUAAAGUCGGGUAUGGAUACCCGUUUGCAUGUACUUUAUGAAUAAGGAUCGGCUAACUCCGUGCCAGCAGCCGCGGUAAUACGGAGGAUCCGAGCGUUAUCCGGAUUUAUUGGGUUUAAAGGGAGCGUAGAUGGAUGUUUAAGUCAGUUGUGAAAGUUUGCGGCUCAACCGUAAAAUUGCAGUUGAUACUGGAUAUCUUGAGUGCAGUUGAGGCAGGCGGAAUUCGUGGUGUAGCGGUGAAAUGCUUAGAUAUCACGAAGAACUCCGAUUGCGAAGGCAGCCUGCUAAGCUGCAACUGACAUUGAGGCUCGAAAGUGUGGGUAUCAAACAGGAUUAGA